RNAcentral lists this ribosomal RNA (253 nucleotides) under uncultured bacterium. RNAcentral describes it as "partial 16S ribosomal RNA". It matches the Rfam family "Bacterial small subunit ribosomal RNA", at positions 524 to 776 of the family's 1533-position model. The record is from RNAcentral.
UACGUAGGUGGCAAGCGUUGUCCGGAUUUAUUGGGUUUAAAGGGUGCGUAGGCGGCUCUGUAAGUCAGUGCUGAAAUAUCCCAGCUUAACUGGGAGGGUGGCAUUGAUACUGCGGGGCUAGAGUACAGAUGAGGUAGGCGGAAUUGACGGUGUAGCGGUGAAAUGCUUAGAUAUCGUCAAGAACACCUAUAGCGAAGGCAGCUUACUAGGCUGUAACUGACGCUGAGGCACGAAAGUGUGGGGAUCAAACAGG